GAUUUCCCUCGCUCGCACACCCAUAUACCCUCGUGGUCAAAUUAACUUAUCCGAGUUUUCUUAAUAGUUAACCAAUCUGCUUCUACAUAAUAUUCAACACCUCGCCCUUCAAACUAAUAAGGAAUCUUGCGGGAAGCUUCUUCAUAAGACCGGAAGACACUUCAAAGAGGGAAAAUGUUGCAUAUGGAUCUAUAUAUAAAUGUGCAGAGCAUCGUAAGAUAGAUCCUCACUGAAUAACAAUGGCUGAAUAUCGAUAUACUUUAAAGUUUCAUGAGCCAUUCAAUACUUACCAUGAUUUGACUAAUGCUGUUACACAUGACUUUAGUCCCCUGAAGCAGUACUCCGAGGGCAAUGUGGGUGUGGAAAAUAAACAAGUACUCAUUCUACAACCAGAGGAAUAAAUUAAACGAAGGAGAAGAAUUCAGAGUAUAAUGUUUUCUGAGAAGAGAAGAAGGAUAAAGAUAAGACAAUUGCUCUUUACUUUACAGUCUCUACUGCCUGUUUCAACUACCAAUAAGGUAGAAAGACAUUACAUCAUAGAAGAGAUUGGUAAAUAUAUUCAGACUCUCCAGACUAAAACCCUGGACUUGCAGAAGAAGAAGGCCCAUUAUUGGCGACAAGAAGCUCAUCGAUUGAUAAUAAUUCAUCAGCCAUUGAUAGAGAGUCUAUAAGUCUUAAUGUAUGUAUAGCAGUUUAUUCCAGUGAAACAGUUAUAAUAAGAAUUACUGCCUCAAGAAUGCCGCGCUCUCUCUGCGAGAUGUAUGAAGUAGUUGAAGCACAUGUCUUAGAAAUACAGAACUCAGAUGUUUACAGAGGGGACUUCAUUCUCUUUCUCAAUAUCCACGCCACAGUAAUUGUAGGCAUGCAUGCAUUGCCAUAACUCAUUAGAAAUGACCCAAAUUGAACCUCGUCUGAACAAAGUUUUACAAAAUAUUUACUAGAAAUAUGUUGAGGAUAUUCACUCUCAGCUGAAAAAUAGGAAAGAAAUGUAAAGGGGUUUCCCUACAUUGAUUAAAAUUUGAGCUUAAAAAUUUCCUGUUCA
Cryptomeria japonica (Japanese cedar) is the source of this 1042-nucleotide long non-coding RNA. RefSeq lists it as uncharacterized. NCBI's taxonomy places the organism in Eukaryota, Viridiplantae, Streptophyta, Pinopsida, Cupressales, Cupressaceae. The record is from RefSeq and is a predicted model, not a curated record. The transcript is spliced from 2 exons.